RNAcentral lists this ribosomal RNA (499 nucleotides) under uncultured bacterium. RNAcentral's name for it is "partial 16S ribosomal RNA". It matches the Rfam family "Bacterial small subunit ribosomal RNA", at positions 30 to 523 of the family's 1533-position model. The record is from RNAcentral.
AUUGAACGCUGGCGGCAUGCCUUACACAUGCAAGUCGAACGGUAACGGGUCCUUCGGGAUGCCGACGAGUGGCGAACGGGUGAGUAAUAUAUCGGAACGUGCCCAGUAGUGGGGGAUAACUGCUCGAAAGAGCAGCUAAUACCGCAUACGACCUGAGGGUGAAAGGGGGGGAUCGCAAGACCUCUCGCUAUUGGAGCGGCCGAUAUCAGAUUAGCUAGUUGGGGGGGUAAAGGCCUACCAAGGCAACGAUCUGUAGUUGGUCUGAGAGGACGACCAGCCACACUGGGACUGAGACACGGCCCAGACUCCUACGGGAGGCAGCAGUGGGGAAUUUUGGACAAUGGGCGCAAGCCUGAUCCAGCAAUGCCGCGUGCAGGAAGAAGGCCUUCGGGUUGUAAACUGCUUUUGUCAGGGAAGAAAUCUUCUGGGCUAUACCCCGGGAGGAUGACGGUACCUGAAGAAUAAGCACCGGCUAACUACGUGCCAGCCGCCGCAGUAA